Molecule: RNA transcript, 2411 nt
Organism: Tigriopus californicus
Lineage: Eukaryota; Metazoa; Arthropoda; Copepoda; Harpacticoida; Harpacticidae
Exons: 9
Source: RefSeq, a predicted model, not a curated record
CGCCCUUUCAUCGGGGUUAGUUGGUAAUCCUUGGUCACGCUAGUUGCUCGAGCCCAACAAAACUUGAAAACUGAAGGUUCUUGCUUUCUUCACCGACUCAUUUAAGUUAUUCAAGUGCCCAUCUAGAACGGGAGGAUAGAUGGAAAAAUAAAUCAUUUGCAUUCCCUUGAUCAGUUUUUGAGUAUGUUUCCUCCACGCAACGGUUCACGAUUUCAACGUCAACGGGAUGUGGCCGAGAGUUGGACUUCCACGGCUCCUUUCAAAUGUUUGCCCUCUCAAGGACACCAGUGGCUGUUGGGUGUGUCGGAACGUGAUCUCUUUGCGAAUGGUUCAUCCAAUCGCUUUAUCAGCGAUAUCCGUGACGAUGGAUCCCAAGUUUGGAGCAUUGGAGCUUGUGAUCGGUGUAGCCCUGAUGCCAAGAGGCUCGAUUGGGGUGGCUUAUGCGGAUGGCGGCCCAUCCAAAGGUUAACGCUGGAUUUGAAUGAGACCCGACCUCUCGUGUUCCCAUCCAUACCUUUGAGUUCGCUUAUGAACUCGACCAACAUUGAGAACUUGCUGUACAUUCAAGAGGAUCCCACUGAGCGAAACAAAAUGACUUCGGAGAUACGAGCUUUGAUCAAUGCCAUCAAAGUGACUCACAUUGUUCAGACAAAAGAUCUUUGGUAGCGAGUUGGUCGGGAGAUCCAGAGCACCCCCGGUGGCAUCCUUUAUCAUCCGGGUCAGUUAGAGUCCUUGAACAUGUCCAUGACCGUCGGCCAUCCAUUUGUGUUCGCCAUGUCUGACGUGUCAGGGAUUGAAGACAUGGCUGUGGUUAAUGCCAUUUUGGCUCAAAAUGGAUUGCCCUUGGCCAGGCCGGUCCUCGACUCCGUUCAAGAUGCUGAGACUUGUCCCGAGGCCGUCUUGCAAUUGUCCAAUUUGACUGAGGAUUUGAACGAAAUUGUGGAAAUGACGGCAUUUCAGACCUAUUUGGAGGGAGGAAAGCAUCUGAUUGUGCGAUGCUUAAACGAUCGAGGGGCACUGUCUCAUCGAAAAUUUCAAAUGUGGGAUCACUGUAUUGAUGGAGUGGAAAUGGGAGCCUUGGAGGAAGUCAUGUUGGUACCUGUAGGUGUGUCCUGGGAGAUGGAGGGAGUUGCUCCUAGAGCUAAAGUGGUCUUUGAACAGCCAAUGUCUUUGAUGGAAUUGUGCAAAGGCUUCUCGCAGGCUUAUCCCAAAGAGAGUGAAAACCGACUGGAACGAGUUCGAUUCAUUGCCAAUCAUGUUCUCGCUACAAUUCACCUUAUUGAACAUGCACAACCAUCCCACAUUCUGAAUGCUCUUGGAGCUCUAUCUGUCACAGAUGAGCACUCGGAAUCCUCCAUGAGAGAUGACUUUUGCGAACUCGUUGACAAAGUGCAAUCCAAGAAACUUGAUUUGGCCUUUUCUGGUAAAGUCCAGGAUAUUCUGAACAUGUGCGAAACCAAAACUGUUGGAUCAAAACCAGACUUGGCUGGGAAUGUAGUGCGUCUUUUUGCGCCCGAAAGUGUCUUGUCUUUGAUAUUGAUAUCACUUCAGCCAUCGUCUCUAACCUUGCCACAAUGGAUUGGAGUGAAUCAGAGAAGUGCGCCAAGAAUCUCCAAGUCUAAACUUAUUGCUGGCUGCCAAUUUUUGUGGAGAAUCGUUCCUCCUCGGUUUCUUUGUGUGGCUCCUUGCCAAGAUUUAACGUUGCUAUUCCAUGAAACCCUCGAGACCAUGGUUGUUGAAGAGAUCCUUCACAUUGAGCAGGAACACGACGGAAGCCACAUGUUGGAUAGGUUUUCAAAAAAUAUGGCCAGAAACUUGGAUCUCGACGAGGAUGAUGGAGAUCAGGGCCUGAAUCUGGAGCAACGACUUCAACAAGUCCAAGUUGUUCCUACAGCCAAGGCUAUCAGGACUCUACUUCGUUAUGCAGAGAUAGUAAAAGCUCACUUUGAGAAUAUGUAUUACUUUUUGGAAAUGGUUCGAAUGGAACCGUUUCAAGUUUACUACGAAGAUCAGAAGGCAAUUCACCCUCUGACUUCGGAAGAAUUCAUCGACCUGGGAAUUUGUUUGGAGAACAUCGGGAUGGCUUCAAAGAAUAGUGAUGGAUCUAUUGCACUGACUGAAGAUUGGCGAAACGAUGUCAGUGGAAUGACUGAUUAUCACAACUUGCUCAGGCUCUUUCUUUAAUCGAAAUAGAUGGUCGGAGGCUCCUCAUCACAUUCGGCAUGAUCGUCAUUGAAAAGGGAUCGUUUGUACAAGAAGCUAACAAUCAAGCAAACCUUGAGUGGCUGAGUGAGAAGGAUGGAAAAGAAGAAGGCCGAAAUCAUUGAGACCAUCCACUGGUAGGCUUUGUCGUUGCCAAAGGACAAUCCAAACGAAAACACGACGAAUGCUCCUCCCAAAAUGCAAACCAA